This 752-nucleotide ribosomal RNA is filed under the name uncultured organism. Its description in RNAcentral is "bacterial SSU rRNA". It matches the Rfam family "Bacterial small subunit ribosomal RNA", at positions 747 to 1501 of the family's 1533-position model. The record is from RNAcentral.
UGAGGCGUGAAAGUGGGGGAGAGCAAACAAGUAUUAUAUACCCUGAUAGUCCACGCUAUAAGAUGAUAGAUUAUAGCCGUGGGAUAGCAUGCUAUUCAGUGGCGCAGCUAAUGCAUUAAGCAUCCCGCGUGGGGAGUACGGCCGCAUGGCUAAAACUCGAAGGAAUUGACGGGGGCCCGCACAAGCGGUGGAGCAUGUGGUUUAAUUGGAGGCAACGCGAAGAACCUUACCAGCCCUUGACAUCCCGUCGCGGAUCCAGAGAUGGAUCUUUCGGUUCGGCCGGACGGUGACAGGUGCUGCAUGGUUGUCGUCAGCUCGUGUGGUGAGAUAUUGGGUUAAGUCCCGCAACGAGCGCAACCCUUGUCCCUAGUUGCCAGCAUUAAGUUGGGCACUUUAGGGAGACUGCCAGUGAUAAGCUUGAGGAAGGUGGGGAUGACGUCAAGUCAUCAUGGCCCUAACGGGGUGGGCUACACACGUGCUACAAUCGUGGUGACAGGGGGCAGUUACUCGGCAAGGAGAUGCUAAUCUAUAAAAGCCACCUCAGUUCAGAUUGCUCUGCACAACUAGGACGCAAAAAGUUGGAAUCUCUAGUAAUCGGGGAUCCGCAUGCCGGGGAGAACACGUUCCCGGGCAGUGUACACCCCCCCUCUCACCCCAGGAGAGGAGGUCUUCAGAGAUGGCGGGCGCUUACUUUCGGGAGGCACAUGCCCACGCAAGAUCACCGACUGGGGCGAAGUCCUAACAAGGUAACC